CCAAAUUCUGCAAUACCUGUGGCACUCCAGGAACAGGGUUGCCUCUUCCUGAUGUAGGGGACAGAUGAUAUUUGAGGUUGUUCAGUUCUUGCUUUGACAGGUCUGUUUUUCAUCCAGAGGUUGUGAUCAUUGGUUGUGAACACAACUUGAAACUUCAGGAGGAGGAACCAAAGUGGUGGAAGGAAAAAUUGAAGCAAUGGAGAGAAAAAACAAUGCGGUGGUUACUUGUCAGCUUGGAGUCCAAGAGAAUACUCAACGCUGCAUUGGAGAAGAGGGCAAAUGCUGUGUCGAAGACAAUCUACCACUCUGCUCUGGAACGCAAAUUCUCUGCCUUUGUACUGGACAUUUUGGGGGAUUUCAAGGUCUUUAUACUGUAAUUGUGAACAACAUUUAUAAAAUACAUGUGUCAACAAUGAAG
Molecule: long non-coding RNA, 418 nt
Organism: Oncorhynchus tshawytscha (Chinook salmon)
Lineage: Eukaryota; Metazoa; Chordata; Actinopteri; Salmoniformes; Salmonidae
Source: Ensembl